UGGGGAAUAUUGCACAAUGGGGGAAACCCGUGAUGCAGCGACGCCGCGUGAAGGAAGAAGUAUUUCGGUAUGUAAACUUCUAUCAGCAGGGAAGAAAAUGACGGUACCUGACUAAGAAGCCCCGGCUAACUACGUGCCAGCAGCCGCGGUAAUACGUAGGGGGCAAGCGUUAUCCGGAUUUACUGGGUGUAAAGGGAGCGUAGACGGCGGUGCAAGUCUGAUGUGAAAACCCGGGGCUCAACCCCGGGACUGCAUUGGAAACUGCAUGGCUGGAGUGUCGGAGAGGCAGGCGGAAUUCCUAGUGUAGCGGUGAAAUGCGUAGAUAUUAGGAGGAACACCAGUGGCGAAGGCGGCCUGCUGGACGAUGACUGACGUUGAGGCUCGAAAGCGUGGGGAGCAAACAGGAUUAGAUACCCUGGUAGU
This 423-nucleotide ribosomal RNA is filed under the name uncultured Lachnospiraceae bacterium. RNAcentral describes it as "bacterial SSU rRNA". It matches the Rfam family "Bacterial small subunit ribosomal RNA", at positions 355 to 794 of the family's 1533-position model. The record is from RNAcentral. Lineage: Bacteria; Bacillati; Bacillota; Clostridia; Lachnospirales; Lachnospiraceae.